AGCACUAUCCAAUGUUAGGUGGAUUGUUAGGAAUGCUAGAUCGAUCAAUGUGAUGCAUAAUCCAUAGUUGUCCUUCGUUCUCUUGUCCCACUAGCUUGCCACCUUGAACCAUGAGGUAUUGAUGGACUUGAAGGUCGAUCAGCAACCUCCAACUUCUUGGUGAGAAGAGAUGGAAUACCGACCAAGUCCAUCAUGUUUUGACGAGUCUUUGGC
This 213-nucleotide long non-coding RNA is filed under the name Elaeis guineensis (African oil palm). Its description in RNAcentral is "long non-coding RNA (EGUI_LNC036120)". The record is from RNAcentral. Lineage: Eukaryota; Viridiplantae; Streptophyta; Magnoliopsida; Arecales; Arecaceae.